AGUUUUCAUUCCCAGUGGUCCCUAGAAAGUUGAAUAUUAAAUUUCACAGAACGCCCGUUCGCUUUUUGCAGUGUUGUUGUUCUGUUUUGCAAAACAAGCGAGAGUGCAAAGAAAACCGAGAGGGCACGCCCUAUGGCAAACGUGCCCUCCCGUCAUAACUGAUGAGGCCCGUGGAGUGACCAUUUCUCUAUUGCACACUAUUUUCACGCCACAGCUGACCACCCUGUUUUCUCUGCCGCACGGCGGAGCUAGCCGGUGCCAGCCUCGCUGCCUCGUUGUUUACCGGG
Caenorhabditis elegans is the source of this 287-nucleotide non-coding RNA. NCBI's taxonomy places the organism in Eukaryota, Metazoa, Nematoda, Chromadorea, Rhabditida, Rhabditidae. The record is from Ensembl.